Molecule: ribosomal RNA, 552 nt
Filed under: uncultured fungus
Lineage: Eukaryota; Fungi
Description: SSU rRNA
Rfam family: Eukaryotic small subunit ribosomal RNA
Source: RNAcentral
GUAGUCAUAUGCUUGUCUCAAAGAUUAAGCCAUGCAUGUCUAAGUAUAAGCAAUUAUACCGCGGAAACUGCGAAUGGCUCAUUAAAUCAGUUAUCGUUUAUUUGAUAGUACCUUACUACAUGGAUAACCGUGGUAAUUCUAGAGCUAAUACAUGCUAAAAAUCCCGACUUCGGAAGGGAUGUAUUUAUUAGAUUAAAAACCAAUGCCCUUCGGGGCUCUCUGGUGAUUCAUAAUAACUUCUCGAAUCGCACGGCCUUGCGCCGGCGAUGGUUCAUUCAAAUUUCUGCCCUAUCAACUUUCGACGGCUGGGUCUUGGCCAGCCGUGGUGACAACGGGUAACGGAGGGUUAGGGCUCGACCCCGGAGAAGGAGCCUGAGAAACGGCUACUACAUCCAAGGAAGGCAGCAGGCGCGCAAAUUACCCAAUCCCGACACGGGGAGGUAGUGACAAUAAAUACUGAUACAGGGCUCUUUCGGGUCUUGUAAUUGGAAUGAGUACAAUUUAAAUCCCUUAACGAGGAACAAUUGGAGGGCAAGUCUGGUGCCAGCAGCC